Long non-coding RNA from Thalassophryne amazonica, 240 nucleotides. RefSeq lists it as uncharacterized. The transcript has 3 exons. NCBI's taxonomy places the organism in Eukaryota, Metazoa, Chordata, Actinopteri, Batrachoidiformes, Batrachoididae. The record is from RefSeq and is a predicted model, not a curated record.
UAAAGCUCCGGUCCCACCAAAUAAUGAAGGAUGAAUAAUAUCUAAUAACUAUCAUGGGAGAAUGGUGGCUCUAUUAGGCUCUUAUUAGAGGAAGUAUAUCCGGUUAACGAGGCUCACCUCUGAGCAUGGCACUAAUUUCAAGAUGUUCAAAAUUUAGCAACAACACCGUUGGGCAGUUUGUAUACAAGUUACUACGACAACUAACAAGGAUUAUAGAGGCUCAUUCUCAACGGGAACAUA